RNAcentral lists this long non-coding RNA (392 nucleotides) under Anser brachyrhynchus (Pink-footed goose). RNAcentral describes it as "lncRNA (ENSABRG00000016845.1)". The record is from RNAcentral. Lineage: Eukaryota; Metazoa; Chordata; Aves; Anseriformes; Anatidae.
CAGGCACCUUAUCCAGAGUCCUUCCUGGGCUGGGCUAUAGACGAAUGGUUGUACCCACAGCAGAAGGAAGGCGAAGGGUCCAAACAGCAGCUCUGCAAAGCCUUGUGUCAGGGAAGUAGGCAGAAACAAAGCUGGAGGUCCCUGCUGUGAUUCUUUGCUGAAAACCACAGAAAGCUUUUAAGCUGGAGCUAUAUCUUUUGCCCGGGAAUGUAGGUCCACAGUGGGUAAUGAAGUAUAGAAUAAUCAUUAUAUAGUUGAAAUCUUCUCCAGUGUCAAUAAUGGAGGCAUGUCUGGAUAGAAAUUUUCAUUGAUAACUGAAAAGUGUACUUUUUAAUUAAUUUCACACAGGAAUUUCUUGCACGUUUGCCAGUGGAGGGCUGUAUUAGUAAGCU